UCUAAUAUGGCAGAUUAGUGCAAUGAAUUUAAGAUUCAUAUAUAAAUUAUAUUAUUUUAUUAGAA
This 65-nucleotide transfer RNA is filed under the name Evacanthus stigmatus. RNAcentral's name for it is "tRNA-Leu". RNAcentral also lists the same sequence under 5 other names. Lineage: Eukaryota; Metazoa; Arthropoda; Insecta; Hemiptera; Cicadellidae. The record is from RNAcentral.